UGCCCAAUAGCCGAAGACUCUAUCUCCAAGGUCCUGUUUCGCCGCCCAUCGCCGCUCAAUCGCCGCCAGGGCAGUGCACUCCAUCCUUUUCUUCCCCGUCUUCGUGCUGCUCGAAAACCUCUCUCUUCCACGCUGCUAUAAAAAGGCAUACCAGAGUCCCACCGGAGUUUUCCCUUCGCCAUCGCUGUUUCGCAGCUCCUACUCUGAGAGCACUUGAGCAUUCCCGCUGAGCUCUUGAGAAGUUCCCCUCUCCGCUCAAA
Molecule: long non-coding RNA, 260 nt
Filed under: Setaria viridis
Lineage: Eukaryota; Viridiplantae; Streptophyta; Magnoliopsida; Poales; Poaceae
Description: long non-coding RNA (SVIR_LNC006892)
Source: RNAcentral